This 851-nucleotide ribosomal RNA is filed under the name Pseudomonas aeruginosa. Its description in RNAcentral is "bacterial SSU rRNA". It matches the Rfam family "Bacterial small subunit ribosomal RNA", at positions 87 to 934 of the family's 1533-position model. Lineage: Bacteria; Pseudomonadati; Pseudomonadota; Gammaproteobacteria; Pseudomonadales; Pseudomonadaceae. The record is from RNAcentral.
UGGAUUCAGCGGCGGACGGGUGAGUAAUGCCUAGGAAUCUGCCUGGUAGUGGGGGAUAACGUCCGGAAACGGGCGCUAAUACCGCAUACGUCCUGAGGGAGAAAGUGGGGGAUCUUCGGACCUCACGCUAUCAGAUGAGCCUAGGUCGGAUUAGCUAGUUGGUGGGGUAAAGGCCUACCAAGGCGACGAUCCGUAACUGGUCUGAGAGGAUGAUCAGUCACACUGGAACUGAGACACGGUCCAGACUCCUACGGGAGGCAGCAGUGGGGAAUAUUGGACAAUGGGCGAAAGCCUGAUCCAGCCAUGCCGCGUGUGUGAAGAAGGUCUUCGGAUUGUAAAGCACUUUAAGUUGGGAGGAAGGGCAGUAAGUUAAUACCUUGCUGUUUUGACGUUACCAACAGAAUAAGCACCGGCUAACUUCGUGCCAGCAGCCGCGGUAAUACGAAGGGUGCAAGCGUUAAUCGGAAUUACUGGGCGUAAAGCGCGCGUAGGUGGUUCAGCAAGUUGGAUGUGAAAUCCCCGGGCUCAACCUGGGAACUGCAUCCAAAACUACUGAGCUAGAGUACGGUAGAGGGUGGUGGAAUUUCCUGUGUAGCGGUGAAAUGCGUAGAUAUAGGAAGGAACACCAGUGGCGAAGGCGACCACCUGGACUGAUACUGACACUGAGGUGCGAAAGCGUGGGGAGCAAACAGGAUUAGAUACCCUGGUAGUCCACGCCGUAAACGAUGUCGACUAGCCGUUGGGAUCCUUGAGAUCUUAGUGGCGCAGCUAACGCGAUAAGUCGACCGCCUGGGGAGUACGGCCGCAAGGUUAAAACUCAAAUGAAUUGACGGGGGCCCGCACAAGCGGUG